RNAcentral lists this ribosomal RNA (446 nucleotides) under uncultured bacterium. RNAcentral describes it as "partial 16S ribosomal RNA". It matches the Rfam family "Bacterial small subunit ribosomal RNA", at positions 29 to 523 of the family's 1533-position model. The record is from RNAcentral.
AGCGAACGCUGGCGGCAGGCUUAACACAUGCAAGUCGAGCGCUCCGCAAGGGGAGCGGCAGACGGGUGAGUAACACGUGGGAACGUACCCUUUGGUUCGGACAACCCAGGGAAACUUGGGCUAAUACCGGAUACGUCCGUAAGGAGAAAGAUUUAUCGCCAAAGGAUCGGCCCGCGUCUGAUUAGCUAGUUGGUGAGGUAAUGGCUCACCAAGGCUACGAUCAGUAGCUGGUCUGAGAGGAUGAUCAGCCACAUUGGGACUGAGACACGGCCCAAACUCCUACGGGAGGCAGCAGUGGGGAAUAUUGGACAAUGGGGGCAACCCUGAUCCAGCCAUGCCGCGUGAGUGAUGAAGGCCCUAGGGUUGUAAAGCUCUUUUAGCAGGGAAGAUAAUGACGGUACCUGCAGAAAAAGCCCCGGCUAACUUCGUGCCAGCAGCCGCCGCCG